Molecule: ribosomal RNA, 479 nt
Filed under: Clostridioides difficile
Lineage: Bacteria; Bacillati; Bacillota; Clostridia; Peptostreptococcales; Peptostreptococcaceae
Description: bacterial SSU rRNA
Rfam family: Bacterial small subunit ribosomal RNA
Source: RNAcentral
CUGAGACACGGUCCAAACUCCUACGGGAGGCAGCAGUGGGGAAUAUUGCACAAUGGGCGAAAGCCUGAUGCAGCAACGCCGCGUGAGUGAUGAAGGCCUUCGGGUCGUAAAACUCUGUCCUCAAGGAAGAUAAUGACGGUACUUGAGGAGGAAGCCCCGGCUAACUACGUGCCAGCAGCCGCGGUAAUACGUAGGGGGCUAGCGUUAUCCGGAUUUACUGGGCGUAAAGGGUGCGUAGGCGGUCUUUCAAGUCAGGAGUGAAAGGCUACGGCUCAACCGUAGUAAGCUCUUGAAACUGGGAGACUUGAGUGCAGGAGAGGAGAGUGGAAUUCCUAGUGUAGCGGUGAAAUGCGUAGAUAUUAGGAGGAACACCAGUUGCGAAGGCGGCUCUCUGGACUGUAACUGACGCUGAGGCACGAAAGCGUGGGGAGCAAACAGGAUUAGAUACCCUGGUAGUCCACGCUGUAAACGAUGAGUAC